ACCUGACUGGCUCAAUCAUUAGAGCAUGAGACUCUUGAUCUCACGGUCACGAGUUUGAACCCCAUGUUGGGCA
RNAcentral lists this transfer RNA (73 nucleotides) under Mustela putorius furo (domestic ferret). It matches the Rfam family "tRNA". Rfam says of the family: Transfer RNA (tRNA) molecules are approximately 80 nucleotides in length. Their secondary structure includes four short double-helical elements and three loops (D, anti-codon, and T loops). Further hydrogen bonds mediate the characteristic L-shaped molecular structure. tRNAs have two regions of fundamental functional importance: the anti-codon, which is responsible for specific mRNA codon recognition, and the 3' end, to which the tRNAs corresponding amino acid is attached (by aminoacyl-tRNA synthetases). tRNAs cope with the degeneracy of the genetic code in two manners: having more than one tRNA (with a specific anti-codon) for a particular amino acid; and 'wobble' base-pairing, i.e. permitting non-standard base-pairing at the 3rd anti-codon position. The record is from Rfam by way of RNAcentral. Lineage: Eukaryota; Metazoa; Chordata; Mammalia; Carnivora; Mustelidae.